RNAcentral lists this ribosomal RNA (443 nucleotides) under uncultured bacterium. RNAcentral's name for it is "SSU rRNA". It matches the Rfam family "Bacterial small subunit ribosomal RNA", at positions 26 to 518 of the family's 1533-position model. The record is from RNAcentral.
AGAGCGAACGCUGGCGGCAGGCCUAAUACAUGCAAGUCGAACGCACCUUCGGGUGAGUGGCGGACGGGUGAGUAACACGUGGGAACGUGCCUUUUGGUUCGGAAUAAUCCGGGGAAACCUGGCCUAAUACCGGAUGUGCCCUUCGGGGGAAAGAUUUAUCGCCAUUAGAGCGGCCCGCGUCUGAUUAGCUUGUUGGUGGGGUAAUGGCCCACCAAGGCUACGAUCAGUAGCUGGUCUGAGAGGAUGAUCAGCCACACUGGGACUGAGACACGGCCCAGACUCCUACGGGAGGCAGCAGUAGGGAAUCUUGCGCAAUGGGCGAAAGCCUGACGCAGCCAUGCCGCGUGAAUGAUGAAGGUCUUAGGAUUAGUAAAAUUCUUUCAGCGGGAAGAUAAUGACUGUACCCGCAGAAGAAGCUCCGGCUAACUCGCGCCAGCAGCCGC